UGUUACAACGGGGAAAAAAGUAAAACACAUGUUUAUGAAUACUUUUUGGUCUGAUUUCCCAAGGGGCAGAGCAUCUAUUGGUGUUCACAGUUCUGAGCAUUUAGCUCCACUGAAAAUCAGGUCAAUACCCUGGCACCAGCGGGCUUCCAACGUUGGUUAGUAGAGAAGGCAAGGGUUUGGAGGGAAGAUUCCCUCUCUCAAAGUUACUAUUACUAUUUGUACUGCAGUAGUGCAUAGGAGCCCCAAUCAGGGAUGAGACCCUCAUUGUGCCAGGCACUGUACAGACAUAUAACAGAAAGAUGGGCCUUGCUUAGCUCUGAAGAAAUUAAAUUUGAGUAUAAAAUAGGAGACAACAGGUGGCUUUAACAAACCGGUGAGGAGAGCACAGGGCCGACUCUAGGUUUUUUGCCGCCCCAAGCAAAAAAUGUGCCGCCCCCAAGCUCCGAGAGCGCAACUGCCUAAGCAAAAAAAAAAAAAAAAAAGGUGGGAAGGUGGGAGGUGGCUGGAAUGCCGCCCCUGGAAUUGUGCUGCCCCAGUUUCGUGCUUGCUUUGCUGGUGCCUAGAGUUGGUCCUGGGAGAGCACCAGGUAAGGAGACAAGUCUAGUCAGCAUGAGAAGUGGCAGUCAUUAACACCCAAUGCUUAACCCUUGUUGAGUUUUUUGUAAGCAUCACAGCAAAGUCUUUAGGAGGUAUUAGCAAGAGAACAAUGAGGUGGUUUUGCAGAUGUUUAUGGGUAGGUCUUCCUGUGCAUAAGAGGCGGCUUGGAAGAAAUACCGUGGAAUAUAGAAAUCCUUCAAUACGAGAAUGUGACUCAAAAGUGCAAAUGCUGGUGGAGAGGCGAUCAAUUGCCUUGCUCAAAACUAAUGUUAAUAUCAAAGACCACAGUAGAUAUAAAUAAUAGACCAAAAAAACCCAACAAUAGAUGAGCGUUAGAGCUGCAUCUUCCGAAGUUAAAUAGAAAUGGCUCUGAUCCUGUGGAAAGUCACUUAGACGGCUUGUGGCAAGUAGGUCCCACUCACGCACAACUGAAGCACGCAAACAUGAAAUACUUGUAUACAGCAGAGGACUAUUCAGCAUUUUAUUUUUAUUUUGCGAGGGUAAAUCUAUAUAUUCUUUGUAGCCUUCCUAAUCCCAUUUCCUGCAUCUCUUCUUAAACCUCCUCUUCUCACCGCUGUAUCCCCCCACAAGUACAUCUCUGCAAACAUUUUGUUACAAACUCGAAAAUUUCUCAAGAAAUAGCACUUCCCUCCCCAAACCAAACUGGCAUGUUCCUGGGGGGAAAUUUUAUAAGCAAAGAUGGCUUUUACAAUCCAAACCUGUAAAAAUGUGCACUUUUGGGAUUUUUUUGGUGCAAGAACAGUCAUUUUAUCAAAAUCGUGCUAAAGUGAGAUAUGUGUAUGUGAAAUGAUACUGUGCAAAAUGGAAGUAUUUUCCAUGUGGAAUUCAGACAAAUAAAACCCACUAAUAUUGCUUUGUUCCAUCCCUUUCUCACUCUGCCUUCCCUUCUGAUCCCCAGUGUGUCCCCUCUUCCAACUGCAGCCCUUCCUCUGAAAAUCCUGGUCUACUCCAUACCCAAACAAUGAGCUAUUCUGCUCUCUUCUCACUUUGCCUCCCCUUCCCAGCUUCUCCACCUUUACCCAUUCUGAUACCCCCUCAAAGGCCCAUCUGUCCCUGGGAAUUCCCCCACCCUAGCCAGAACUUGUGCAUUUAUCAGGAAAAGUUACCAAUUAUUAACUCUGCUGUGAGACUUCAGUAAAUUCAUCAGUCAGUGGUAAAGGAUAAUUAUGUGGCUUGUAUAUAUUUCCAGUUAUCAUGAUAUUACUAUUCUUUUUAAUUAUGUGCAGAAUCCUUUUAAGAGAGUAAUGAGGAAGGGGAACUUGCUUCGCCUACCCGAUAGUAACCCAGUUAUCACAACUGAGCAGGCUAAGAGAGACGGCCCAGAUUGCCAGCUCUGAACCUUCUCAGAUUCUGCUGCGUGUUAGUGCUUUCAGUGAAACUGAAAAUGUCAUGAUUAGGCUUCAGAGAAGUCUUUUAACUGCUGCUGCACAUUGGGCAAACUUCUCCAUUGAAUUAUCCAUGAGGACUUCUGAUCUUUUUUCCUCAGAGGAUCCUGCUAGUUCAGAGGCAGUAAGUAUUGAUAAGAAAUCUAACUAUAUUUGUCAGUGUGCAUAACUUUUAAUCUGCCCUUGUGCUGUCCAAUCUACUUUAGUUUUGAUGAAUAAAAACAGUGGU
Long non-coding RNA from Dermochelys coriacea (leatherback sea turtle), 2232 nucleotides. RefSeq lists it as uncharacterized. The transcript is spliced from 3 exons. Lineage: Eukaryota; Metazoa; Chordata; Testudines; Dermochelyidae. The record is from RefSeq and is a predicted model, not a curated record.